This 1381-nucleotide long non-coding RNA is filed under the name Anser brachyrhynchus (Pink-footed goose). RNAcentral describes it as "lncRNA (ENSABRG00000001518.1)". The record is from RNAcentral. Lineage: Eukaryota; Metazoa; Chordata; Aves; Anseriformes; Anatidae.
CCUCUGAAAUCCAGCAAGAAACAGGGAUCUGAAACCUUGGAUUAGACAAGUGACCAUAAAGCUUUUGUGUGGUUUACUGCAGGGAUUUAGCAAACUGGAAUACUAGAGCCUGAAUAGUUUGGUUUGAUUUUGCCUGGAGGGUGAUUUAAUGUUUUUCUUUGGAAACCAAAGUUUUUCAACGAAGCAGACAUGGAAGAAAACGAAGGAGCAGAUAUUUUGGAAAACUGCCCUGUCUCUAAUGGUCCUUGGUGCAAGCCAAAGAGAGACGAGGAGGUGCCUUUGGAGAGGAGGAGCAUGUGGAUGAAAGAGGAGGUCUCUGAGGCACCAUGGCCAUGGAAACGCACAAGUGACAACUACCUGUUAUGCCCAGAGGUGAUCUAAUGAGACAGCGCUCUGAAGUAAGCCCCUGCUCAGACAAGCAUCAAACUAUUUCCAGUAAAAGAGAGCUCGUGCUUUCUGCAAAGACAUCCUGAGCUCAUGUAGACUGUUCUGUUCCAUAACCUUGCCUGCUCCAGCUCGCUAAUGCACUCCCUAAAACUGCACUGUCUGUGGCCAUUCCUUCACUGCCUGGUUCCCGAUGGGCAUUCUGAUGUCAUCUCACAAGAUUUUCCUUUCGGCUUAAGGUGCAACUUAUAUUUAAAAACAAACAAUAAUAUGUCUGGCCACUGAUCAUCUACUGUCUGAAGCUUGAAUACUUCGCCGUGGCGAAUCCAUCUGCCACAGGGUAUUGCUGGUUCUUGAGAAUGCUCUUUAGGGUUUCACUGUACUUUUACUUCAGUGAUAAAUUAUUGUGGUUUCCAAAAGUUAAUAAUAAGUGCUCUACAGAGGAGAUAGUAUGUCCAGAUAGUAUGCUUUCCUUUUAGCUGUGUUUUUGGAUCUAGCUUUGUUCUUGUUCUAUGGGAUAACAGGCCAAAGGUGGCACCGUGCAGGCUGUGUUGAUACGAGCUGAACCUCUGCAAUUUUUUUUGUUCCUUCUUUUUCAUCUAAGCUUUCCUGACUCCUUCCUCCCCUUAUAUGGAAGCCCUGUGCCUUGUAUCUCCUUUGGCAUCGGUGCUUGGCGGGCUGGCUCAGGUCACAGCACUCGCCUGUCUGACAGAGCGCGGGCAGCCGGCGGGAUGAGCUGACCUCCGCGCAGCCGCUGGUGUGCGGAGGGAGCCGUGCGCUGCUGAAAUCCUGUCCCUGCCCCUGCUGGUGCACGGCGCUGUCUUGUCUUUAUGGGCAACACUAAAUCUUCCUAGAAACGCGUUAAAUUCUGUGGUUAUGUGAAUCUGUUGUCUUUGCCGAGAAUUACAGUCAGUAACCUGUCAGACCAGUGCAAGGAGCUAUUUUCAUGUUCCAACACGUUCCCCUAAAACCCUGGGUGUUUGCACAGGGCAGGCCU